Molecule: small nuclear RNA, 158 nt
Organism: Eptesicus fuscus (big brown bat)
Lineage: Eukaryota; Metazoa; Chordata; Mammalia; Chiroptera; Vespertilionidae
Product: U1 spliceosomal RNA
Exons: 1
Source: RefSeq, a predicted model, not a curated record
GUACUUAUCUGGCAGGGGAGAUAUCAUGAUCACAAAGGUUGUUUUCCAGGGAGAGGGUAUUGCACUCCAGAUAUGCUGACCCCUGUGACUUCCCCAAAUGUGGGAAACUGGACUACAUAAUUAGUGGUAGUGGGGGACUGCAUUCAAGCUCUCCCCUG